GGGUGGCAGGAGGUGGGGCUGGAAGGAAGUGGGGCAGAUCACAGGGAAGGGGGAAGCUGGCCCAGGCAUCUGGAUUUUAUCCCAAAGCUCAUGAAUGUUAAAAGGCAGGUCCGAGGGUACCCUGGAGGACUUCCAUAGCAUCUUUAUCAGGCCUGAUGCCAUGGCCCCUAAAACUCAUUUGCUUUAUUGCUACCCGAAUACCCUUUACAAAUGCAAAUCCGAGCAAUGAGCACACUGCCUGCAACCCUCAGGGAUCCCGACUCUUACAGUGAAGACAGAGCUCUUCAAUACACCCUGUGGAAAGGCUGGCCAGUGCCUUGACCCCAUUAAAAGGCUCUGAAAAAAGUAUAAAGAUAGGGGAAAGCAGAGCAGAAGGCUUGGGCAGAGCUCUGGGACUCGGAUGGAAAGCAUCCCCACUUGGAGGUGCUCACAAGCGGAAGCCCCUCUGGGAGAGGAGACAAAUGGGAAAGCAGAUGGAAAAGCUUUUGGUGGAGCCAAUUUGCAGAUCUGUAAAAUGGGUUCUUUCCGGCC
RNAcentral lists this long non-coding RNA (531 nucleotides) under Homo sapiens (human). RNAcentral's name for it is "HSALNT0378982". The record is from RNAcentral. Lineage: Eukaryota; Metazoa; Chordata; Mammalia; Primates; Hominidae.